Long non-coding RNA from Camelus dromedarius (Arabian camel), 7763 nucleotides. RefSeq lists it as uncharacterized. The transcript has 6 exons. The record is from RefSeq and is a predicted model, not a curated record. NCBI's taxonomy places the organism in Eukaryota, Metazoa, Chordata, Mammalia, Artiodactyla, Camelidae.
GGUUAUUGGGCCACAGCCUGUCAGAGCUGGGGAAGCAGGGACCAGAGGCUGAGCGUCUACUGUUGGGCAGGCAUCUUCCACCACUGACGGUUCAGUCCUCUGCAAGAACUGAUGAGAUCCAGGCUCAGAGAUGUUGUCGCUGCUGCCUAAGGUCACACAGCUGGGAGGUGACUCAGCAAGGGGUAGAAGGAGGUGGCCUGCUCCCCUCCCUCCCAUCCCUGCUCUGGGAGCUCCUGGAGAACAGAGCCCAUAGCCUCCCACUUCUGGUCAGCACCAGCGCCAGUGAGGCCGCUGAGGCCCAGUGCAGGGCCUAGGGGAUGGAAGAUGGUGGACUCCACGGAGCGGGCUUGAGGAGACCAGAUUCUGGCCAGAUCCAGCUCCACUUCUCUGGGUGACUCUGGGCAGGCUGCCUUCCCUCUUUAGUCCUCAGUUUCCCCAUCUGUAAAAUGGAGACAUCAGAGUCCAAGAUAAGUGGCAAGAAAUGUAAAUCUUACUUUUGGAUUAGAAUCAAGACAGAAAUUACAUGGAGUGGAUUGCAAAAGUCACAUGAAUUUUGAAGCAGCAGUGCAAGAUUGGGCGACUUGAGUUGCCUCCGUGGGCCUUAGUUUCUUCAUCUGUUAAAUGGGCAGAGUUGUUCUGGAUGAAAAGGAACUGGGGCCCAGCUUCCCUUGGCGUGUAGACUUAGACAUCAUCUCUCCCGUAAGUAUCUUGUUUCAUUAUUCAAAUACCUUGGAUUAAAAGAGGAGAGGAGAAUUUAUUUCUGGAGGCAGGUGCCUGGGGAUAAAGGGGUAAGUGAUGAUGAGGGGGAGAUGACUGCAUCACGCUCUUUCCCUUCCUGGCCUCGGGGCUACUGCCUAUUGGAGCAGGGAGAGACCUGAGCCCUCAGCAGAGGCACAACUCCUGGAGACACCAGCACUGCUGCAGAGGUGGGAGGCCCCACUGCAGGGUGAGCAGCCCAUGAGAAGGGCAGGUGGAUGCUGAGGGCAGAGGGAGCCCUGAGAACACGCCCCACCCACUGCAGGUGCUCAGAGAUCACUGGGGAGACCCAAGAAGGAAGUGAGGUUCUAUGGUCCUCUGGUGGGUGGAGGGCUGUUGCCUGACGUUAAUGUGGCCCCUUUAUUUCUUGCUGGUGGGGAAGUCUAAGGCAUCCUGGUUGCCAGGAGAAUAACCUGCCCUGCCCGGAGCAGCAGGUUCCGAGGGGUGGGGUGUGCUGAGGAUGCUCGCAGGUGCUUCUAGGAGAAGGACUCUGCUGUGAAAUUUGCAUGGGUGACUGCAUUUGUGUUUUGUUUUUGCUUUUGUUUUUUCUCUAUAACGACCUCAAAAUCUCAGGGGCUGAUAGCAGCAAACAUUUAUUUCUCAUUCAUGAGUCUGUGGGCUGCUUGGGGCAGGGGUUCUGUUUCAGGUCUUGGGUGAGCUCCAGGGGUGCUCCUCGGGCUGCUCCUGGAGCCAGGGGACCCCUGUUCUUCUCAGGGACCAUGGCUGAAAUGCAAGGAGGGUGAGCUCAUGACCAAGUUAUGCCUUUUAAGGCCUCAGUUCAGGACUAGCAAUUGUCACUUCUGCUAUGUUUCAUUGGCCAACAUGAGUUCAUGGCCACAUCCAGCAUCAGAGGGACUGGGAACUGUGCUUUGCCCGAGCCAGGGUCACGCGGCAGAAGGAGGGAGGGAGGUAUCGGGAGCAAUCCCAGCUGCCGCCUCAAUGCUACAGACUCAGGUGCCUCGUGCAGAACCAAGGAGCACCCAGGCCUCCCGUGUCUCCGGUGGGGUCCCCAGGUCCUCCCGACACUUUGCCCUCAGUAUUAGGUAAACUGGCUUGAGCCCCAGGCCGGCCGCUGUGGGAUGUUGGGUCUCCCAGGGCUCAGGGCCCUGUGAUCCUGCGCCCUCUGGUUUCCUGAUUCUGCUCGAUGGGACCGCUCUCCUCCCUGCGCUGUUCCCCCUCCACCCCACACUACACUGAGCUCAGAGCCCAGGCGGGAGUUCUCCAAACCCUCCCUCCCGCCUGGCGAAACAACAAGCCAUCGAUUUUGGGUUUCUAUUUCCGAUACGACAAAACACUGUGGAAGAUGUAUGAUUGUUAUUCUUACAGUGGUUGUUUUGCCUCAAACGUGAUGAAAUUCUUUCCCCCACCUGUCUGGGUGAUCCAAAGAGAGCGCUGCAAAGAUUCAUCUCCCGCCUGCCCUCCUGCUGGAGGUGCCCCCGGGGCAGCGUGCUGUGUUUUCUUCCAUCCUGCUGCACGGAUUAGCACAUGAAAGGUGCACUUGGCCCAGGAAGCGAUCUUUCCUGGAACAUCUAAUACCUAUCCUCUGACAGGGGCUGGUGUGCGAAAAGCCCUUUAGGAUUCAGGGUGCUUGGGAGGAUUAAAUAAAGGAAAUUGUGUCAGGGCCCCUGUGCACUGAUAGGAAGCGAGUUGGUGUUCGUUCUCCUUUCUUUAGAGGACACCCCACCUUAGAUGACCCUGUAAUGACUGUCCAGGCCAGGACAUUUCAGAGAGCAAGGGGACACGGCUACGAAUCAUGUCCAGACAGCAGGCAUAAAGUGGGACUGUCCCAGGCCAGGUGGGACUUGUGUCUGCUCUAUCCCACCAUCCCACCCUGGACUUUAUCAUGGACUCUGUUUCCUCCAGUGUCUCCCUCCCACCUCCAGGAGGAUGGGGCCGGACAGGUAGGAAGGCCCCAGGCCCACCUGCAGUGCACAAGGCUGCCUUUUGGCCCUGGAGGGUGAGGCCCCCCGGUGGGCAGGGGCAGUGGAAACCAGCCGGGACUCAGAUUCUGACAGACCAUCCAGCCUUACGCCUCUCCAGAACUAGAAAAGCCCCAGGGAGAGGUCUGUGCCCCAAGGUGCGCCAUCAGCAGAGCCUCCGGCCCUGCCCCCAUGCCCAGCCGCUGGCUCCUCCAAGCCUCUGCAGACAGGGGGCCUGAUUUCCUUGGAUGAGCUGGGAUGAGGGUGGGCAGCCCUCAGUUAGGCCUCGGUUGGAUCGUGGCUCUGCCCCGUGUGACUUAGCACAGGUCACCCCACCUCCCUGAGCCUCAGUUCCCUCAUCUGCGGAGUGAGUACAAUUGCAUUUUUCUCCUGGGAUUGUUAUGAGAAUCUAGUGGGUCCCCUGAACCCAGAGUCUCAUUUAUCUCCCACGAGGUCAAUCCCACCAGUCUCUGAGCAAAUAUUUACACUCACAUGCAUGCACACACUGCACACAUACAUGCACACACACGCACACACCAGGCAUGUACGCACACACCCACAGAAUGCACCUAGAACACAUCCCCUCUUCUCCUUGGUUCCCAAACCCUUCCCAAUCCUUCCCAAAUCCUUCAAGGGCCCAGCUCAGAUGCUCCUUCUCCAGGAUGUCUCUUCAAGACUAGCUAGAGCAUUGGCUUUUCUGGAUGAUACCACCCCCAGCCCAUUUGGGGUGGGGGGGCUGACACCUCCUCUUUCUGUGCUCCCGAGGCUUGAAUGGGCCUCCAUGACCCACGUGUCACCUUAUCCAUUCAUUAGUUAUAUUUAUGUAUUAUAACUUAUCCAGGUGUACAAGAAAUAGGGAAUAAGCCCUUACAACGGGCCAGUGCUUUACUAGGUCACGGGAGGCCAACGUGAACGAGAUUCGAUUCCUACCCUCAGCAGCUGUGGGACUAGAAGGAGAGACAUCAGUUUCUCCGUGGUGGUGGAUCCUGGGCUGUAACAGAAAGUUGAUCUCACAGCACCUGGAGGCCUCCCCUCACUGGCAUUGUUUCCAGCAACUUCCAGGCUGGAGUCCUAGGGAGGUGGUGGAGGCAAGUCCAUCUCUUUCUUUCCCUGUGAGCGCGAAUCAGGACUCACCCACCUGCUUCUUUGGGGGAUGAUUACCUGUCAAGGUUCAUUUGAGCCCCUGGCCUCCCGGAGACUCUCCCACCCGCCGCAGGACGUCUGGAUGGCCGCCGAGGAGCUGCUCCCCGGGGGUUAGGGGAGUGAAAUGACUUCUCCCCCACCUCCUUGCUUCAUGUAGCAGGUGGGCACUGUGACAUCUCAGGCCUGCCAGACCUGAUAACGGAACUGUCAUGGUCGGACUGGUCAUGGGAGGUGAGCAGCGAAGAUUCCAGGAAAUCGCGGAGUCUGUCUGCCACACAGGCCAUCUCAAAUUAGAUUGGCUCACUGAGCGAUUUCAGAUCCUGUAAAUUGCAUCUGGAGGUCUUCUUCCCCUGACCUGCAGCAGGCCCGUCACUGUGCUGCUCUGCCUCCAACUCCUACAGCUUUCCCUAAGCCCAUCACUAUUAGAAACAGUAGGUCUGGGCUUGAACCCCUGGGUGGUAACUGACCAGCAUGUGACUGACUGCCCCUGAUGGUGGUGUGGGAAAAUGGGGGUGAUUGUUUUAAUUGGGUCCAUUUCUGCCAUAAGAAAUAGACAUUCACACUGGCUUAAGUUUAAAGCUCGGAAAUUUAUAGGCUCAUGUAACAGAGAAGUUCAAGGGGAUUCAGGCACAGCUGGAUCCAGGUACUUAAAUGAAGUUGUCAGGCAUCCAUUACACCCCAUCUCUUGGCUCUGCUUUCCUCUGAGUGGGCCUCCUCUUGAAGGCCCCCAGGAGCUUCAGCAGAAAAAAAGCACUUUGUAGACUCAUGUGUCCACUCCCGAACCAACUACUGUGGCCUGGUUCCCAUGCUGGCCAUGACUCUGCACGUUUGCGUGUGCUGUUCCUUCUACCUAGAGCACCUCUUUCUCUUUUCUCUUUUGAUGUGCAUCUCUGAGUCACCAAAACUGAAUUCAGCCCCUCUCCUCAUGGAUGCUCGCCCCACCCCACUCCCCAGUCUGCUUCAGGCAUCCCCGCUCUGAGUCUGCAUUGCAUUUAGUCUCCAUGUGUAUCAUAUGAUCAUCAUGGGUUUCUGUGCUGAAUUUCAUUUCACUGUGAAUAUAAUGAAAUUUGAAAUAGUGGCCCAGUGUUGCCCACUACCAGCCCCUCAGCACUAAGCACAGACUCUGGUACACAGUUGGUGCUCAAUAAGUGUUUGCUGAAGGAAGGAAUGGUGAGUGGUGAGUGGGGAAGUUCUGGUGCAUGUUCGGAAGGCAGAGGAUUAAACUGGGCAGUGGUGGGGGGAUGGGGCUGACAUAAGACACAUCCCACCAGAAUGGUGUGGUCAUCCCUGCCCCUCCCUCCCUCUGCGUGCUUAGGAUCUGCUCCAGGAAUCUGAGAUGGCCUCACCUCGCUCAGCCUUGAAUUCUCAGUUACCCACCUGCCAUCCACACUUAAGUAGUCAAUGAGAUGUUGGCCUCAAAACUGGGCUGUAAUUUCUUUUUGAAUCUGGGAGGGGAAAACAGAUCCGCUCACUCUUCACAAUGAAGAGAGCUCUGGCAAGGACAAAAUCUCUUCCGGGCACAUGUGGUACCGACCAGGGUUCUUGGCCUCCUUAAUCAACAGAAAUUGGUAAGAGGCCAGAUGAGAAAUUCAGGCAAGGCUUUACUGGGACAUGGGCUGCAGCACGAGGGAGCGAAAACAAGUAAGUGGUUCUUCACUCCUUGGGGAGGGGUGCGAGCUGGGCCCUUAAAUGGGACGAGGGUCGGGGCAGGCCCCGGGGUGGGGCUGGAGAGGUGGCUUAGGCGGUCUGCCCACCUCUCCGUGGUGCUGUGUGCCGGGAUCAUGCACAGUAAGUGUCCUGCUUUUGCUCCCAACACCUCAGAAGUGGUAGGCAGCUGGGCUUUUGGUCUUUUUGUAUCUUGUUGUUCAUAAUUUGCCCCAAUCGCCCAUGCACACAGUUAUUUCUAGUCCCUUAUAGUUUCUUUGCUUCUGUUGUUCCGUCCCGGUGCAAGCACAACAGCCCAGGGUUCUAGGUCCCAGGUCCCAAGUCCCAGCCUGUCUCACUUGGAGGAGCUCACGUUUUCGCUGAGCAGCCCUAGAGAAUGGGUGGCCAGGGCCCUGCUUCCUCGACCUGCUCCUUGCUUACGGCUGUGUGAUCUUAGGCUGGGCAUGGCCCCCUCUGGAGAUCAGUUUACCCUCCUGACAAAUGGGGGUGGCAACCUGCUGUAUUCGUUCCCAUGAGCUGCUGUACCAAAGUGCCACAAACUGAGCAACUUUAAACAACUGAAACUUAUUGUCUCACAGUUCUGAAAACUAGAGGUCCCAAAUCAAGGUGUCAGCAGAGCCGUGCUCCCUCCGAAGCCCCUGGGGAGGAGUCAUCCUUGCUCUUCCAGCUUCCGGAGCCCUGGGCCUUCCUUGGCUUGUAGACUCAUCACUCCGGUUCUGCCUCCACCUUUACGAGGUGUCUCCCUGUGCAUCUCUGUGUCCUAAUUCUCCUCUUCUUGCAAGGACAUGGGACCUGUUGGAUUGCGGCUCAUCCUAAUGACCUCAUCUUAAUCUGAUUAUAUCUGCAAAGCCCCCAUUUCCAAUGUUUCUUCAUCAAGCAACUGAAAGAAAAGCCUUCAUCCAGGUGUAGCGUGAAGACAUUUUCUGACUUCCUCUGUCUUGCCUGGUUCAAGUUCGCCAACGCUUUCCUGGAGAGCCCCACCAUCCUUGCUCACACUCUUGUGUCUCCUGACUCUGCUUCUUUAGGACAAAAGCCUUUUUCACAUUUUCAGAGAAUCCUCCUCCAGUGAGCUUUCACAAAGGCAAAGUUUUUUAAUUCCAAUGAGGUUCAACCUAAUCAUUUUUUCUUUUUAUGAUUCAUAUGUUUGGUGUCAAGUCUAAGAACUUUUUGCUUAGCCUCAGGUUAUGAAGAUUUCCUCCUAUAUUUUCUUCUUAAAGUUUCCUGUUUUGCAUUUACGUAUAUGAUCCUUUUUGAGUUCUGUAUAAGUGUGUCAAGGUUAAUUUUGUUGUUUAUGGAUGUGCAAUUGCUGCAGCUCUGUUUGUUGAGUAGGCUAGCCUUCCUCCAUUGAAUUGCUUUUGCAUUUUGUCAAAAACCAUCUGAGCGUAUUUGUGUGGGUUUGUUUCAGGGUUCUUUCUUUUGUUCCAUUCAUCUAUGUGUCUAUCCUUCUACCAAAACCUCAGAGUCUUGAUUAAUGUAACUAUAUACUAUCCCUUAACAUCACAUACAGUGAUUCCUCCCAUUUUCUUCCCUGUCAAGACUAUUUUAGCUGUCCUAGUGUCUCUGUUUUUCCAUAUGAAUUUUAGAAUAAGCUUGUCUAUGUUUAUUAAAAAAAACUCACUGGGGUUUUAAUAAGAAUUGUGUUAAACCUUUGUAUCAGUUUGGUGAGAAUUCACAUAUUUACUAGGUUGGGCAUUCAAGUCCAUGAGCAUAGUCUGUUUCUCCAUUUGUUUAUUUAGGUCUUUUACACUUUCUUUUAUGUGUAAUUUAUAAUUUUCAGCAUACAGAUUCUGUACAUGUUUUGUUAAGUGUAUAGCUAAAUGUUGCAUUUUCUUUGAUACAAUUGUAAAUAGUACUGUGUUUUUAAUUUUGGUGUCCGUGUGUUUUGUUAACUUAUAGAAAUAUAAUUGGUUUUUGUGCAUUGAUUUUGUAUCCCCAAACCUGAACACACUUAGUUCUGGAAGAUAUUUUGCAGAUUCCUUGAAAUUUUCUACAGAUAACCCAUUGUCUGCAAAAGGGAUCAUUUUAUAUCUUCUUUUCCAAACGAUAUGCCUUUUAUUUCUUUUUCUUACCUUAUUGCAGUGGCUAUGAAUUCCAAUACUACAUUAAAUAAGAGAGAUAAGAGCAGAUAUCCUUGCCUUGUUUCUAAUCUUGGGCAGAAAACAUUCAGAAUUUCACCUCUAAGUAAGUUAGAUGUAGGUUUUGUAUAGAUGUUCUUUAUUUUCUUGAAGAUAUUGCAUAAAAUUGGUACUUGUUCUUUUUUAAAAAUUUCGUAGAACUCUC